RNAcentral lists this unclassified non-coding RNA (152 nucleotides) under uncultured Ascomycota. Its description in RNAcentral is "sequence contains ITS1". Lineage: Eukaryota; Fungi; Ascomycota. The record is from RNAcentral.
CAGAGUUGCAAAACUCCCCAAACCAUCGCGAACGAUACCCAUAACCGUUGCCUCGGCGGGCGUCUCUCCCCCUGUGGGAGCCCCGCCGACGGCCCCCCCAAACUCUCUGUAUUUAUUUGGUCUCUCUGAGUUAUGAUACCAAAAAUCAGUUA